GCCAGUGUGAUGUAGUGGUUUGAGUGUUGGACUACGACUCUGGAGACCAGGGUUCGAAUCUCUGCUUGACC
Molecule: transfer RNA, 71 nt
Filed under: Phrynosoma platyrhinos (Desert horned lizard)
Lineage: Eukaryota; Metazoa; Chordata; Lepidosauria; Squamata; Phrynosomatidae
Description: tRNA-OTHER
Source: RNAcentral